RNAcentral lists this ribosomal RNA (268 nucleotides) under uncultured bacterium. RNAcentral describes it as "partial 16S ribosomal RNA". It matches the Rfam family "Bacterial small subunit ribosomal RNA", at positions 86 to 354 of the family's 1533-position model. The record is from RNAcentral.
UAUGGGUUAGUGGCGGACGGGUGAGUAACGCGUGGGUAACCUGCCUUACACAGGGGGAUAACACCUGGAAACAGGUGCUAAUACCGCAUAAGCGCACAGGGCCGCAUGGCCCGGUGUGAAAAACUCCGGUGGUGUAAGAUGGACCCGCGUCUGAUUAGCUUGUUGGCGGGGUAGGGGCCCACCAAGGCGACGAUCAGUAGCCGGCCUGAGAGGGUGGACGGCCACAUUGGGACUGAGACACGGCCCAAACUCCUACGGAAGGCAGCAG